This 301-nucleotide ribosomal RNA is filed under the name uncultured bacterium. RNAcentral's name for it is "partial 16S ribosomal RNA". It matches the Rfam family "Bacterial small subunit ribosomal RNA", at positions 509 to 807 of the family's 1533-position model. The record is from RNAcentral.
CAGCAGCCGCGGGAAUGCGAAGGGGGCUAGCGUUGCUCGGAAUUACUGGGCGUAAAGGGCGCGUAGGCGGACAGUUCAGUCGGGGGUGAAAGCCCGGGGCUCAACCCCGGAAUUGCCUUCGAUACUGGCUGUCUUGAGUAUGAGAGAGGUGUGUGGAACUCCGAGUGUAGAGGUGAAAUUCGUAGAUAUUCGGAAGAACACCAGUGGCGAAGGCGACACACUGGCCCAUUACUGACGCUGAGGCUCGAAAGCGUGGGGAGCAAACAGGAUUAGAUACCCCCGUAGUCCUUGUCUCUUAUAC